RNAcentral lists this ribosomal RNA (468 nucleotides) under uncultured bacterium. Its description in RNAcentral is "partial 16S ribosomal RNA". It matches the Rfam family "Bacterial small subunit ribosomal RNA", at positions 28 to 507 of the family's 1533-position model. The record is from RNAcentral.
GACGAACGCUGGCGGCAUGCUUAACACAUGCAAGUCGAACGGAAAGGCCCUGCUUUUGUGGGGUGCUAGCGUGGCGAACGUGUGUGUUACCCGUGAGUCACCUUCCCUUUACUUUGUGAUAACUUCAGGAAACUGGUGCUACUACCUGCUUGUUGCUCCUGCUGCUUGGUGGUGGUUGGAACUUUUCGGCGGUUGUGGAUGGACUCGCGGCUUAUCAGCUUGUUGGGGGGGUACUUGCUUACCAAGGCAUUGAAGGGUAGCCGGCAUGGGAGGGUGGCCGGCGACAGUGGGACUGAGAUACGGACCAGACUCCUACGGGAGGCAGCAGGGGGGAAUAUUGCACAAUGGGCGGAAGCCUGAUACAGCAACGCCGCGUGCGGGAUGACGGCCUUCGGGGUGUAAACGGCUGUAGCCUGUGACGAAGCGGGAGUGACGGUAAUGGGUAAAGAAGCACCGGCUAACUACGUG